GGCUCGGAUUCCCCGCCCUACGUGCCCCUGCCGCCCUCGCCGGAGCCGCCCACCCCAAGCCGCAGCCCCCGUCCCGGCGCCGCGCCCGGCAGCCGUGCUCCGCCUCUGCCCCCCUUCUACCUCCCUGACCCCAGCCCCGAGCCGGCCACCAUGCCCACAUCACCACCGCCCGUGUACGGUGCCCCUCCGCCGUCGCCGGAGCCUCCCACUCCUGUUGACACGCCGGCCGUGUCCCCUCAGCCCAGCCGCAGCCCUCGUCCCGGCGCCGCGCCUGGCAGCCGUGCUCCGCCUCUGCCCCCCUUCUACCUCCCUGACCCCAGCCCCGAGCCCGCCACCAUGCCCACAUCACCACCGCCCGUGUACGGUGCCCCUCCGCCGUCGCCGGAGCCUCCCACUCCUGUUGACACGCCGGCCGUGUCCCCUCAGCCCAGCCGCAGCCCCCGUCCCGGCGCCGCGCCCGGCAGCCGUGCUCCGCCUCUGCCCCCCUUCGACCUCCCUGACCCCAGCCCCGAGCCCGCCAGCAUGCCCACAUCGCCACCGCCCGUGUACGGUGCCCCUCCGCCGUCGCCGGAGCCUCCCACUCCUGUUGACACGCCGGCCGUGUCCCCUCAGCCCAGCCGCAGCCCUCGUCCCGGCGCCGCGCCCGGCAGCCGUGCUCCACCUCUGCCCCCCUUCUACCUCCCUGACCCCAGCCCCGAGCCCGCCACCAUGCCCACAUCACCACCGCCCGUGUACGGUGCCUCUCCGCCGUCGCCGGAGCCUCCCACUCCUGUUGACACGCCGGCCGUGUCCCCUCAGCCCAGCCGCAGCCCCCGUCCCGGCGCCGCGCCCGGCAGCCGUGCUCCGCCUCUGCCCCCCUUCGACCUCCCUGACCCCAGCCCCGAGCCCGCCACUAUGCCCACAGCGCCGCCGCCCGUGUACGGUGCCCCUCCGCCCGACACCCUGCCCGGCGGCGGCUACCCGACGUUGCCUCUGGGCACCCCGCCG
RNAcentral lists this long non-coding RNA (987 nucleotides) under Chlamydomonas reinhardtii. RNAcentral's name for it is "long non-coding RNA (CREI_LNC000107)". The record is from RNAcentral. Lineage: Eukaryota; Viridiplantae; Chlorophyta; Chlorophyceae; Chlamydomonadales; Chlamydomonadaceae.